RNAcentral lists this ribosomal RNA (492 nucleotides) under uncultured bacterium. RNAcentral describes it as "partial 16S ribosomal RNA". It matches the Rfam family "Bacterial small subunit ribosomal RNA", at positions 29 to 507 of the family's 1533-position model. The record is from RNAcentral.
AGUGAACGCUGGCGGUAGGCCUAACACAUGCAAGUCGAACGGCAGCACAGUAAGCGCUUGCUCUUACGGGUGGCGAGUGGCGGACGGGUGAGGAAUACAUCGGAAUCUACUUUUUCGUGGGGGAUAACGUAGGGAAACUUACGCUAAUACCGCAUACGACCUACGGGUGAAAGCAGGGGUUCUUCGGACCUUGCGCGUUUGAAUGAGCCGAUGUCGGAUUAGCUAGUUGGCGGGGUAAAGGCACACCAAGGCGACGAUCCGUAGCUGGUCUGAGAGGAUGAUCAGCCACACUGGAACUGAGACACGGUCCAGACUCCUACGGGAGGCAGCAGUGGGGAAUAUUGGACAAUGGGCGCAAGCCUGAUCCAGCCAUACCGCGUGGGUGAAGAAGGCCUUCGGGUUGUAAAGCCCUUUUGUUGGGAAAGAAAAGCAGCAGGUGAAUACCCCGCUGUUCUGACGGUACCCAAAGAAUAAGCACCGGCUAACUUCGUG